RNAcentral lists this long non-coding RNA (3205 nucleotides) under Actinidia chinensis (golden kiwifruit). RNAcentral describes it as "long non-coding RNA (ACHI_LNC007164)". Lineage: Eukaryota; Viridiplantae; Streptophyta; Magnoliopsida; Ericales; Actinidiaceae. The record is from RNAcentral.
CAAAACCGAAUUAUUAACAGUAGAACCAAAUCAAACCGACCAAAUGAGAUUGGGUUGGUUUGGUCCUCGGUUCUUUCAUGUUUUGUGCACCCUUAAUUUCGAUUCCAGCAUCCUCUCUCUGUCUCUCUCCUCCUUCGAACUUCCCUCUCUUUUCCGAUGGCCCGAUCUGUCUCUUCUCCCUACCCCGAUCACUACCCCAUUGUAUUUCGAUCUCCAGAGGUUUUUUGCUUUGUUCAAAUCGACUGUCGACAUCAGGAUUUGGUGGUGUAGCUUCACCUCUGAACUCGACCUAGAUCGAUGAUCGAUGUUUCCCGGCAGAUUUCUCCUCGAAGAACUCAGAUUUCCUCCAUUGGUAAAUCCCCCGACGAAUUCUGUUUUGUAUUUAUACGUAUCUAGUUACAUUAUCUGAAUACACAUUGCCAGUAUAGUGGAGAGAAAAAUAAAGUUACGAAUAGAUCAUUCAGGUGGUUGUAGCUCAAAUUAAAAUGUCUAAGCCUAUGUAGAUUGCGUUGUGACGUGAGUUUGGUCUAAUGAGGGAAUUGUUCUGAAGGUUCAAUCCAGUAUAGAACGCUAACAGUGGAGAUUGAGAUUGAAUUCAUGCAUUUUGUAUGUAUAUAUGUAAAUAUUUAGUAGGUGUGGGUGAAAGAAAGGAAAUUGGAUGGAGAGAGUGGAAUGAAGGUCAUUUGAUAGUGGUGGUGGCAGCAUGGUAGGCAUUCACUGAAGUGAGAUGAGGUGUAGGGGGACGUGAGUUGAGUUGGAGGUUGAGUGGUGGUGUGGAGGUGGCAAGGUGGAGAUAAGGUGGUGAUGGAGGCCAGAGUGGGAGGUCCCGUGACAAUCUCGUGGUGGAAGGGAUGUUGCGGAUGAGGGUAAAAAGGUAAUUAAUAUAGCUUGGGAGGGUAACAAUGUGGUUUUAACUUUUAUCUAUGCUCCGUUAAAUCUGUAUUAGUAAAAAACCACAAGAGAGGUCAGUGGAAUUUACCUUCGAAAAAAUAAGUGAUCUCGUGAUUGCACAACUAGGGGUGCACAUAGGUUGGUUGGUUCGGUUUUGAUUUAUGCACUACACAAACAGUGCCAAUCUAAAUAGAUUUCACAAAAUUCAACUGAAUACCGAACCAUCAUCUCUUGGGACCUACCUCAAACCUAACCAAUAAAUAUUAGUUCGGUUCAGUUUGAUAUUUAAAUGUUUCUACUUUUACCUUUUGAGAUACUUCACAAGACAAGUAACAGAAGGGUGAAAUAAAAGAGUGUCCAUUACAAGGUUCACAUCUUCAUGCAAAACAGAUAUCGUCAUUUGAGGAUUAGCACCAAUCUUUGUGGUAAUGAUGGUGGUAAACUAGUAGUGAGUAGUGACAACAUGUGGCCUUCAAUGGAAUGCCAUGGGUGUCUAUGUAGUUUUGAAGCUGAGGAGGAGUUGAGUUAUUUUCCAAGGAGAUCAUCCACAAUGAUUGUCUCAACCCAGUAUAGGAAUACAAAAUGGUUUGACAAUCAACACAGUAUAGGAAUACAACAAGUUUUACUUAAUGGGUUGAGUUCUCGGGUUGGUUCGGUUUGAAUAACCUUCAACAGAAAAACUGCAAGAAGGUUGGUUCUUUAAAUUUUGGAACAAUCAUUGAACUAAAACCUUAGGAAACAAACCCAAAUACAUGGGAUUCAGUUGGAUUCUCGGUUCUGGCUGGCCAUUAGUGCACCCCCUACCCAAACCUGCAUAUAUCUCAUGUCGUUGCCUUUUGAGGAAGAAAGAAAUAAAACAUAUAUUAUUGUCAAAAAUAAUACUUCUGUUUUUCAGUUCAACUGUAUGGUUUUAUGAAUGACACUUUUAAAAUCAAGGAUUUAUCGAUUUUUACUUUAUGAAAGGAAUUUAUAACUAUUUUUCUUUUUGUCUGGAUUGAUCAGAUUUUGCCUAAUUUCCCUCAAAUCAUUACAAAUUCUCCCCCUAUAUUCUGAAAGAAUUCUUUCACAGUUUCCCCUAUUAUUUUAUUUUUUCGAUCACAUUAUUUCAUUUGAAUUCAUACAAUGCAAAUUCAGUUAACCAAGAUGAAUCCGAUUUUGUAAAUUUCCCUGUAAAAUCAACAAAUUUUAAAACUAUGCUGAAGACUGUAUGAAAACAUUUCUUGUCACACUAUGCAGCUGAAACCCUACCUGCUAUGUGCGUGUCCCUUUUGUUGUGAUUUAACUACAUGUUUCCCCUAGUAGAAGAAAAAUAUGCACCGUGCUCAAUAAAAUACCCUAAUUUGAAUAAUGAUAAUUUCUCUACGUUAAAUUAUAUCUGAUCACAGGUAUAUAAUAUCUUAGUUAAGUCAUUUUUUGUGCAUGUAUAAAUACAUAGGUCAGAUAUUCCAAAAUUUUAGCUAGAUGAAUGGUUCCAGACCUCCAGUCUUUUAUAAUUCCAGCUGUAGUUAGCUUAUUAAGCUUGUGCUCUAUUCAGUGUUUGUCAACUCCUUUUAUAGUUGUCAUAAUGGAGUGCAAUUAUGUUAGCAUUACCCUCAUUGUGAUUGGCCAAAACAAUGGGGGGUGCUAUAAUUAAAGUAGUGGGAUUGUUUCAACCAAUCACGAUGAAAGUAAUGUUUGCACUCCUCAUAAUGAAACUCCUUUCUAGUUGAGAUAAUAGGGAUUGAAAUUGUAACAAAUAAGAUAAGUUCAAAUUUGUUUGAUCCUCGUGCAUCGUAAGGGAAAUGGAAAGGGAAAACCAAAUCUUUUACCUUGUAAAAUUGUAACCGAGAACUUCUCACAAGUGGUCAAGAAACUAGCUAGAAAAUACGAAAAGAGAAAGUAACAAGUAACAACUUUGUUUCCUAAUUUUCUGACAUGUUCAUUUCGUCAUGCUUUAUAGGUAUGAAGUAUGAAAAAAUGAACUUCUUCAUCUAAAGUUGAAUAGUUAGUUAAUUAGUCACAACAAGAUGUACCAUUAACGUUAAUGAGAUUACUGAUCUUAAAAUUUCAACUUAAAUUUUUCUCCAUCCACAUUGUCAUCAUCAUCUUCUUUAAGUGUUGGCUCUUUCUAUUGUGCAUCUCUCAAUCCCCAUUAAUGUUUUACUUUUUGUUCCGAACAGCUUAAGGUCAAUUUUGAUUUCAGUAAACUAAGGAGAUGCAGAAAGAGGAUCCAUUAUAAGAAUAGUAUAACAGAACAUUGUGACAUUGUGACUCGUCUUCGGUACAUUCAUACAAAGAGGCAUAAAGCAAGUAGAUGAUCAUGUUUCAUUUUGUU